AGUGAACGCUGGCGGUAGGCCUAACACAUGCAAGUCGAACGGCAGCACAGUAAGAGCUUGCUCUUACGGGUGGCGAGUGGCGGACGGGUGAGGAAUACAUCGGAAUCUACCUUUUCGUGGGGGAUAACGUAGGGAAACUUACGCUAAUACCGCAUACGACCUACGGGUGAAAGCAGGGGAUCUUCGUACCUUGCGCGAUUGAAUGAGCCGAUGUCGGAUUAGCUAGUUGGCGGGGUAAAGGCCCACCAAGGCGACGAUCCGUAGCUGGUCUGAGAGGAUGAUCAGCCACACUGGAACUGAGACACGGUCCAGACUCCUACGUGAGGCAGCAGUGUGGAAUAUUGGACAAUGGGCGCAAGCCUGAUCCAGCCAUACCGCGUGGGUGAAGAAGGCCUUCGGGUUGUAAAGCCCUUUUGUUGGGAAAGAAAAGCAGCAGGUUAAUACCCCGCUGUUCUGACGUUACCCAAAGAAUAAGCACCGGCUAACUUCGUG
Molecule: ribosomal RNA, 492 nt
Filed under: uncultured bacterium
Lineage: Bacteria
Description: partial 16S ribosomal RNA
Rfam family: Bacterial small subunit ribosomal RNA
Source: RNAcentral